Molecule: long non-coding RNA, 1156 nt
Organism: Canis lupus familiaris (dog)
Lineage: Eukaryota; Metazoa; Chordata; Mammalia; Carnivora; Canidae
Exons: 6
Source: RefSeq, a predicted model, not a curated record
ACUGAACAAUCUAGGGCGUGGUAACCACUUUAGAGUCACCUAAGUUCCAAUGGGAACAAGUUUGGGAGCCACCACCAUGAGCUUGGGUCUACUUCAGAACUGAGCUCUCUAAUCUCUUCUAUGGCUGAUGGUCACCACACCAGCAUUCUAAUUAAGACCAAUUUCCUUGGCAGGAGUUUCAAAUUUUUGCCAGGAACCAACACAUCGUCAUUUACUAGAGCAUCAGAUUAUCUGAUAAUAUUUAUCUUGACCUCACAAUCCUACUAAUGAGGGAUGUCAGCCAGGAGCAGAAGCCAGAGGGAGACAAUGGGGAAGCAGGAGAGACCACAAACCAUCAUUCAAAUCUAAGCAAAAGCCGGGCGUGGGGAAAGAAGUCGUAAGGAAACACAUCCAACAUCUCUUUUAACUAAUGGAAGCAAGAGCUCUUGGACAGAAGAUAGAACACAAGAGGCAGGUGAUACAAUAUCGUCUUGAAAACGAAAGGAGAAAAAGAAAAAACAUAAAAGUUUUUUAUUAUUUCUCCAGCUUGUUGGAGGAAAACCACAAUGAAACCCUCAUAUUUUUUUCUGUGAAGAGGCCUCAAUGGGUCAGGGCGCUCGUAUGCACAUAAACUGAGGCCAGUGCACAGAUUCUCGCUUCAAGCACGUACUGUUUCCCAGCUAAGAGAGUAUCUCCAAAACAUUUAUUGAUUCUGUUGCCCUAGUUUGAAUCUCAAUGAUGUAAACUUUGCUAAAGCAUUUUAAAGUAAAUCACGGACAUUAUGCCAUUUCGUCCCCUAAAUACUUCAGCAGGUGUCCCUCGGAAUGAGAGCAUCCACCCACACAACCGGGCUAACAAAGCCAACACAUCAACCAGGAUCCUUCACUUGUGAAGAUUCAUGGUUCAAUGCCUUUAGCGAGUUUACGGAAUCGGCGGUGUGGCUUCCCAUUGUGUCGUAUCAGGAAGGCCCCUGGAGGAGACUGUCCCAUUGCUGACGCGGUGGGGUGGGCGCACCUGGCUCCGGCGGUGUCCGCUGACCCUUCCGUGGGGAAGGCACCUCUUCCCUUCGCCAUCAGUAGGGUUGUCCGAGUGGUGAUGAUUUGAGGCUACGCGAAUACCGUAUUCUCCACAACUUCUCAGGCCGUGGGUUUUCUUGUCCACCGAUGAUCUUUGCCAA